Molecule: non-coding RNA, 73 nt
Organism: Podarcis lilfordi (Lilford's wall lizard)
Lineage: Eukaryota; Metazoa; Chordata; Lepidosauria; Squamata; Lacertidae
Source: the annotation of a GenBank genome assembly
GGGCUUGUAGCUCAGUGGGAAGGCGUUCUGCCCUGCAUGCAGAUGGUCUCAGGUUCAAUCCCUGCCAUCUCCA